UUACACGCAUUUUCGUUCUUUUCACUUUGUGGUCGUUAGUGAUAUCGCUAUUCUCGGUUUUUUUCCUUAUUCGGCGAUAAAUACCGAAAAUUUCGAAGUUUGUCUGCCAUAUUGUUUAUUUUUCUAUAUAGACAUAACAGUAAAAGGUAAGUAGUUUGUGAUUAGUUUUAACGAUUUUGUGACUUUCUUUUCAAAUCACUUUAUAGGGGAAAUGUGCACAGAAAGAGGUCGCUUCCUGGCCUGUACCGUCGUCUAAAGCGCCGAUUGUUAAUUCAAAACGAUGUGUACAUACCAAGAUUCAAUGUUUAUAAAUUAUAUUUUGGAGUUCGAGUUUUAUUGAUCGAGUGACAAGUAACGUAUUGUGCAUUCUUUAUUGCAAUGAUCAAAAACAAUACAUGUGAGAGGAGAAAUACAAUGUAGCUAGUUGAAUAACCAUUUAACAUGUUUAUUAAAUGGAAAUCAAAUUUAUAAAACAUUUUUCUCUUUUAAUUUCAGUUUCAAAUAUAGCCAACAGAUUCUACACUCACUACAGGCCAUGGGGAUGAAAAUAUCACAGAACUGUUGGAUCAGCUCUCAUAGUACCAGCUAUCUUCUGAUGAACUACCCAGUUUUACGGCAAUGGGAGCAAUGGCAGAGAUAAUAGAUGACAUUUUACAUUGCCAAAAAAACAACAUAAUGACAUUCUUUCAAAUAUCAAUUCCUACUGUGGGAGAGCUUUUUCAAUUAUAAAGAAAUAUUGACACUGAAUUCUGAUCAGAACUUGACUAUGUUAGAUUUAUAUUGUACAUUGUUGUAUGCUGUUAUCAAAUAAAUGUAACUAAACUUGAAACUGGCAGUUGUCUUGAAAAUGUGCCUAGUGGUGGUGCCUUAAAAACAACAUAACAGACCACUGUUUAAUACAAUAAAAGUUCACAGUAGAAUAUAUAUUGUUUUUUGUAUAUAAACAAAUUUUUAUGUGAAAUUAUGAACAUUACCACAUUCAUAUUAAAAAGUCCGCAUCUACGUCACGCGUUUUUACACGCUUUUUGACAUGUCAUGUCAUGUCAUGACAUGAUUUCCCAUUGUCAGAGGUUGACAUGUAUGUAGACAAGUUGUCACUCAACGUCCAGUGGUUUAAAUUUCAUGAAAGUUCAGGACUGUAGACAAAACGCAAUUAUACGCUAAAAUAACGAUUAGGAGAGCCUCACGCCGGAAUAUCAUAUAAACACUUUAAAGGGGGAGGAUGCAUAUCACCCAGGGAGAGGCGAUGAUUCACAAGUUAUUAAACGAGCACCAGCAUAUGACAUAGUAUGAAGAUCAUCUUUUUUUCUACGUUGUAUUAUUUUGGGCGUUGCAAAUAUUGAAUCAAGGAAGUAUUUGAUUUUUUGAUUUUUUUCCCCCUUUUUUUGUAAGGGAAGAAGACAAUGAAUUUGCUUUGAUAUUUUCUAAGGUUAAACAAUGCAAUAUUGAAAUUUUGGAAAGAGUAGAGGGAGGGGGUUGGAGCACUUUUUUGUUUAGUUAUUAUGGGCAUUUUUUUCUGCCGGACUACCCUUUAUUUAAGAUAUGCUUUAGAGUUAUCUACUUCCACCU
This 1569-nucleotide long non-coding RNA is filed under the name Mytilus galloprovincialis (Mediterranean mussel). The record is from RNAcentral. Lineage: Eukaryota; Metazoa; Mollusca; Bivalvia; Mytilida; Mytilidae.